GUUGGUUGGAGGAUGGAGACCCCUGGUAUAUAACUAUGUUUUAUAAUUAUAUGUUUGUGUAAUUUGGGGUUUCUGCCUGCAGUGACACUUUUGUGUGUGAGGCCCCAUCCAUCCUCCCCUCAAUACGGUGCAGUCGUCCUGUCCCUCUUGCAGAAAAGCAUCCAUAAAGAAUGAUGUUUCCACCUCCAUGCUUCACAGUUUGGAUGGUGUUCUUGAGGUUGCACUCAUCCUUAGUCUUCCUCCAAACACAACAAGUAGAGUUUAGACCAAAAAGCUCUAUUUUCAUCUCAUCAGACCACAUGACCUUCUCCCAUGAAUGAGUAUGUGGACAAGUGUCUUUUAUACAGGUAACAGUUCAAACCGGUGCAGUUAAUAAAAAGUGGAGAAAAGGAGGGCUUCCUGUGAGAGCUGGAAUUCUUACUGGUUGAUAGGUGAUCAAAUGCUUAUGUCAUAAACAAUAAACUGCAAAAAUAUAUAUUUUUAAAAUAUACAAUGUGAUUUUCUGGAUUGUUAUUUAAGAUUCUGUCAUUAGAGUAGAAGAGUAUACCUAAGAUAAAAAUGACAGGCUCUUACGUGGUUUGUAAGUGGGAACCUGCACAAUCCCCAGUGUAUCAAAUGCUUUUCCUCCUCACUGUAGAUAACUGAGGGGAACACUUAUUUUAAAAGUGCCAUGUUGACACUGUUUUGGAGUUGCAACUCUGAGUUCAAAUGACUGCAAACAAUCCCAUAUGAUACUUCAUCUGGUGCCCACUCUAAAGCAAAACUAUAUUCUUUCCAGUUAUUAAUUUAAAAUAACUUUCAUAUUAUCUGUAAUCGAAUGUGUUCCAUCCUACAGUUCCUCCUUUAAAACCCUUGCCUCACACUUGAAUUGCCAGGCAGGAGUUUAUUUUACUAACGUGAUUGUUUCUUUAAUCAACAUGACAAAAUAGUUUUGUCUUUUUUAUUUAUAAUACAGAGCUUAACUGUAGAGACCUACAUUUCGGUUGGAUAAAGGAGGGUACAUAAAUUAACCAAUAUCAAAAGCGUAUGUUGGUUAAUUGUUGUGGGUUUUUCCAUCUUCACACACACACACACUCGAGACCGGUGUAUGUCCUGGUUAAGACUAUCCGGGUCCCCACAUAGUCAACCCCUCCCCCACACCUAUACCCGCGCGCGCGUCUGGAGCUAAUGAUUGCAUCUCGUCACUCACUCACUGGACGAGCAGGAGCUGCAAACGCAGCAGCAAUCAGCGUGUUCGUUCUCCAAGGUAAGCUAAACACUUUUAUUUCAAAUGUAAUUCGUGUGUUAACAUCAUAACAAAUGCCACUACCAUAUAUUAUGGAGAAUGUUAAUAACAAAGCAGGCCUUGCUAGCGAUAAUUUUAACUUUGCAGUUUUCUGUCGAGUCGGGUUUAGUCAGUAUAAUGUUAGAUAACGUUAGUUUACUAACGCGCCUAUACAUGUGCAAUGUAAAUGGAAACUAUUUAGCUAACUACCACUACCAAGCUAACCGACUUAUUAGCUAGGCACGAUUGAAGCUUAAUGCAUGCCAUACAUUUUUUUUUUUUUUGCGUUUGUUGUAUAAUUUAAUCACAUGUGAUUGAUAAUCGAUAAAUGUAUGUUUUUAUGAUAUGCACACUACAGUAGUUAGCUUGUAUGUUAGGAUGGACUACUAUGACAAUUAGCAAGUUAAAUAGAGUAUAGGAUCAGUUGUCAUAACACUUCCGCACUACAGCGUGGUUGGGUUGUAUGGCGGGAGAAAAGCUGCCAUCAGGGGUAACUUAGGUUUUCACUCAUGGAGAGAAGAACUUGGACCAAUCCAGGAUGCGGAGUACCAUAUCCAAGCGGGGAUUGAUAAACCAUGUCUCCAGCGUUUUAUCAAUAAUUUUAAAGCAUUGAUGCAUGUGAAAAGGACUCCUCUCUUGGGAGACUUGUUGAUGACGACCACAGAAGACCUAUUUUUGCAAAUGAAAACCAUAAGUAAAGAAACCACACUUGUCUCUUCGCGAUUCGAGAUAUUACACCUGGAGAAGAACUGACGUCAACAACGUGACUCAAACUGGCCAUGGAGAGCACAGCCCCCAAAACACACUUCACUGGCACGGACACCCUGUUCAACAUGCCCGUCUCAGAUGAUAAUUUGCAGAGUGAGCGCUCGAAGUUGCAGGCCGGGAUUGACAAAUUAAAAACACCACAAUCGGUGUGAAACUCUGUAUGAAUCUACGGCUGAGAAGCGAAAUGCUCUUCAAAGACAGCGAACCUUACUCCUACUGCAAUUGGCAAACUUGGAUAAAAUGCUGGGCCCAGAAUCACAUCCAGUCACUUAAACAGCAGAAGAUUCUGUGAUACCCUCACCAACAGACACACAGGUAUGGUCAGAAAUUGACCAUGCAUCUCCAACCAGCGAAUGUGUACCACCACUGGAAAGAACGGAGUGUAUUUGUUGCCUUCCUUCACAACAUGGACACAUAUUCCAGCUCUGCAGAAGAUGGGAAUGUGUCCCACUCCAAUUCCAAGCUGGGCCCAGAAUCACAUCCAGUCACUUAAACAGCAGAAGAUUCUGUGAUACCCUCACCAACAGACACACAGGUAUGGUCAGAAAUUGACCAUGCAUCUCCAACCAGCGAAUGUGUACCACCACUGGAAAGAACGGAGUGUAUUUGUUGCCUUCCUUCACAACAUGGACACAUAUUCCAGCUCUGCAGAAGAUGGGAAUGUGUCCCACUCCAAUUCCAAGCUGGGCCCAGAAUCACAUCCAGUCACUUAAACAGCAGAAGAUUCUGUGAUACCCUCACCAACAGACACACAGGUAUGGUCAGAAAUUGACCAUGCAUCUCCAACCAGCGAAUGUGUACCACCACUGGAAAGAACGGAGUGUAUUUGUUGUCUUCCAAAUCAACAUGGACUAGGGUUAGGGUUCUUAACAUGAACGACACCGAAAUGGACCAACUUGCUGAUAUCCUGGGACAUGAUAUUCGUAUCCACAGGAAAUAUUACAGAUUACCCGAGGGAACACUAUUAACAGGAGUGCGUUGAGCCUGAUCCUGGGAUGGAGAGUGAAACAGAACUGUCAGAUCAU
Long non-coding RNA from Carassius auratus (goldfish), 3057 nucleotides. RefSeq lists it as uncharacterized. The record is from RefSeq and is a predicted model, not a curated record. NCBI's taxonomy places the organism in Eukaryota, Metazoa, Chordata, Actinopteri, Cypriniformes, Cyprinidae. The transcript has 17 exons.